CAGUCGCCGCGGUAAUACGAAGGGUGCAAGCGUUAAUCGGAAUUACUGGGCGUAAAGCGUGCGUAGGCGCUGAGUUAAGUCUGCUGUGAAAUCCCCGGGCUCAACCUGGGAAUGGCAGUGGAUACUGGCUCGCUAGAGUGUGUCAGAGGAUGGUGGAAUUCCCGGUGUAGCGGUGAAAUGCGUAGAGAUCGGGAGGAACAUCAGUGGCGAAGGCGGCCAUCUGGGACAACACUGACGCUGAGGCACGAAAGCGUGGGGAGCAAACAGGAUUAGAUACCCCCGUAGUCCCUGUCUCUUAUAA
This 301-nucleotide ribosomal RNA is filed under the name uncultured bacterium. RNAcentral's name for it is "partial 16S ribosomal RNA". It matches the Rfam family "Bacterial small subunit ribosomal RNA", at positions 509 to 809 of the family's 1533-position model. The record is from RNAcentral.